UGACUCGUUUACAAAAAAAUGACAAGAAAAUUCUACGAUCUCUAGACAUUGCUACAUCUAUAGCAGUUCUCGUAAACGCUUGGUCAAAUAAUGAUGACUGGAAAAACAUCGAUAGUACUUACACAAACAAAUCUAUUGGAGAGGGAAGAGUGGAUUGCUCAAUCAACCUAAAAAAGUUUGUCAAGACCUUAAAGAUUGGAAAAACAUGGUAUCGAUGCAAGUAUUUCAAACUACAAACUGAUUCUCUAUUUUACCGUAAUAUUUGAUGUAACGUCUGUCAUUAUCUUCUUAACACGUCUCGCAUUUUGGUCACAGACCUUACGUAAAAUA
This is a long non-coding RNA of Xenia sp. Carnegie-2017, 330 nucleotides long. RefSeq lists it as uncharacterized. NCBI's taxonomy places the organism in Eukaryota, Metazoa, Cnidaria, Anthozoa, Malacalcyonacea, Xeniidae. The transcript is spliced from 2 exons. The record is from RefSeq and is a predicted model, not a curated record.